AUGGCCGAGGAGGUGAUCAAAGAGGCUAUCACUUCAACAACUCCUGCAUUAGCUGAGUCGAAGAGAGAAGAUCUCCGGAUAAAUACCACUGAAAUCAUAGAUGGCAACAGUGUGCCGCCCUACCUGAGGAGGAAAGAGAAGCCAGUUCCACAUUACCAGAGAGCAUCCACUGGCUCAUGCCAUGACAAAUGCAAACUUGGUAUUCAUCAUUCUUCCGAGUCUAAGAAAUACUCGCCUGUUCGUGCCUGGCGUCAGGACCGCGCGAACGCCAGGAAUGGAACACACGACCUGGCUCAGGCUGUAGCCAUCCCACAAGGAGACAAAGCAAGAAACAAGAGUCAGACGCUGAAGAUUUCUCGUGUAAAAGAUGGCGCUGCUCCUGGUAAGCCUGAAUUUACCAAGCAGAAGCCACCACUGAAAGGAGUACCUGGUCGUCUUGAAAGCUCUCCAUGUGUAGAGUUAAUAUCAGAUGAAGUACCUGGAACUGUUGUGGCUGGAAACCAGCCAGAUUGUGCGAAGUGCCUCAUCAUCUCACUUGAUGACUUGUCGAGCUGUGGAGAUGGACAAUUGUCAGAGGGAGCUGUAAGCAUUGAGCUGGAUAUGCCGUUGGCCAUCCAGGACAGGGAUGAGUCCGACGAUCAUAGUACGGAUCAUUCUGCAAAUGACUCUGUAAGUUCAGAGAACAUGAGUAAGCAGACUGUGAUGGCAUCAGAGAACCACAAACAAGAUAGGGACGUGACUAAACCACAGAGCUUCUCCCAGGAGUCUGUGAAACCAAACAGGAAAGCAAGGUCGACUAUAACCAGAAACACCAUGUCAAAGCACAAGAGCGAAAUAACAUCACAUGAGAAGGCUGCAGGUACAUCAGCUGGAAGCGGCGAUGGACCAAGGACAACGGCGAAAAAGGCAGAUCCUAGCGUUCCUAACAAGUUCAACAAGGAGAGGAAACUCAACUCCACUGUCACAUCAACUCUUCCAAGGGUGAAGAAAAUCAAAGCACCAUCACCAGCUAGCACGAUGGAUUCAUCUGCCAAACCUGCUACAAAUAAGCAUGCUCCAUCUCCAUCACCUCCUUCAGGGAAGCAAACUGAAAGAAAGAUUACACUGAAUAAUGUUGCCAAGAAUGCUCAACUUUGGCAAAACAAGGGAGAAGAAAAGGUUACAUUGAGUCCACUGAAGCUGUCUCGUUCUACAGUGAGAGCAGUCAGGAAAGAAACUUCUGAUUCCCCAGUGAAGAGUAAGAAGUUUUAUGGGAUAGAAAGUUUUUCUGGGUGCAAGGAUAAAAUAUCGAAGACAGCUUCGCCAAAAAUACGAAAACCAGACGUUAACAACAAAGAGAGACAAUCUCGCAAAGAAAAUGGGGCUAUUGCAAGAACUGAAAUUGCAGGAAGGCCAAAGAUAACAUCCACGCCCUCAUGCAUCAUCAUGAAGUCGCCUCGCAUGCUGAGGUUUCGCCGUGGCAAGGUGCUGAAGCUUGGCAGCAACUCUGACAACAGCACUCCCAGACGAGUACAGUUCAGGCCUGCAUAUGCUACAGAUGACGGCAACAGAAGCAAAUAUCCUGCCAGACGCAGAAUCACCAAGAACAAUGAAGCUAAAACUUCUGCUGCAUCAAAAGAUUCAGGUGCUUCAAGAGCUGAGGUUGUCGUCCUGAGGCAUCAGGGUGCCAAUGACAAAAAGAAGAGCGAGCCGCGAUUAUUCAACAAUGUGAUCAAGGAGACCGCGAGCAGGCUCGUCGAGGCGAGGACGAGCAAAGUGAAGGCCCUCGUUGGUGCUUUCGAGACAGUGAUCUCGCUUCAAGGUAUAAAGCAAGGCAGACCCAGCAUUUCCUGA
This 1833-nucleotide ribosomal RNA is filed under the name Triticum aestivum (bread wheat). RNAcentral describes it as "partial small subunit ribosomal RNA". Lineage: Eukaryota; Viridiplantae; Streptophyta; Magnoliopsida; Poales; Poaceae. The record is from RNAcentral.